GAUGAAGAACGCAGCGAAAUGCGAUAAGUAAUGUGAAUUGCAGAAUUCAGUGAAUCAUCGAAUCUUUGAACGCACAUUGCGCCCGUCAGUAUUCUGGCGGGCAUGCCUGUUCGAGCGUCAUUACGCCCCUCAAGUCCCCUGUGGACUUGGUGUUGGGGAUCGGCGAGGCUGGUUUUCCAGCACAGCCGUCCCUUAAAUUAAUUGGCGGUCUCGCCGUGGCCCUCCUCUGCGCAGUAGUAAAACACUCGCAACAGGAGCCCGGCGCGGUCCACUGCCGUAAAACCCCCCAACUUUUUAUAGUUGACCUCGCAUCAGGUAGGACUACCCGCUGAACUUAAGCAUAUCAAUAAGCGGAGGA
RNAcentral lists this unclassified non-coding RNA (358 nucleotides) under soil metagenome. RNAcentral's name for it is "partial contains 5.8S ribosomal RNA, internal transcribed spacer 2, and large subunit ribosomal RNA". The stretch from base 1 to 120 matches the Rfam family "5.8S ribosomal RNA", at positions 35 to 154 of the family's 154-position model. The record is from RNAcentral.